RNAcentral lists this ribosomal RNA (1287 nucleotides) under marine metagenome. RNAcentral describes it as "bacterial LSU rRNA". It matches the Rfam family "Bacterial large subunit ribosomal RNA", at positions 1121 to 2512 of the family's 2925-position model. The record is from RNAcentral.
CCUUUAAGAUAGCGUAACAGCUCACCGGUCUAAUAGAGUUUCUGCGCCAAAGAUGUAACGGGGCUCAAAUCAUGUACCGAAUCUGUGGGUGUGUAAUGUCUUCGGACUUUACACGCGGUAGCGGAACGUUCUGUAAGCCUGCAAAGGUGUACCCGUGAGGGACACUGGAGGUAUCAGAAGUGCGAAUGCUGACAUAAGUAACGAUUAACAGAGUGAAAAACUCUGUCGCCGAAAAUCCAAGGUUUCCUGCGCAAGGUUAAUCCGCGCAGGGUUAGUCGGCCCCUAAGACGAGGGCGAAAGCCGUAGUCGAUGGGAACAAGGUUAAUAUUCCUUGACCAGAUGAGAGUGACGGAUCUUGUAAAUUGUAAGUUCUUAAUGGAUUGAACUUGCCGUGAAAAGGUCCCAGGAAAUAACCUCAUCAUAGACCGUACCCUAAACCGACACAGGUGGAUUAUUAGAGUAUAAUUAGGCGCUUGAGAGAAUGAUGUUGAAGGAACUCGGCAAAAUGCUUCCGUAACUUCGGAAUAAGGAAGACCUUUGGUUAGGCAACUAACUUUAGGUGGCACAAGCUAGGGAGAAGCGACUGUUUAUCAAAAACACAGGGCUCUGCUAACACGUAAGUGGAUGUAUAGGGUCUGACGCCUGCCCGGUGCUGGAAGGUUAAUAUGGUUGGUGCAAGCUGACUGUUGAAGCCCCAGUAAACGGCGGCCGUAACUAUAACGGUCCUAAGGUAGCGAAAUUCCUUGUCGGGUAAGUUCCGACCUGCAUGAAUGGCGUAACGAUUUCUCCGCUGUCUCCAACAUCAACUCAGUGAAAUUGAAUUCUCCGUGAAGAUGCGGAGUUCCCGUGGUUAGACGGAAAGACCCCGUGCACCUUUACUGCAACUUUACAUUGGUAUUAGAAACGACAUGUUUAGCAUAGGAGGGAGACUUUGAUGUGAUAGCGUCAGCUAUCAUGGAGUCGCCAGUGAAAUACCUCUCUUGUUAUUUUUGAUAUCUAACUGCUAGCCGUAAUCCGGCAGCAAGACACUGUAUGGUGGGUAGUUUGACUGGGGCGGUCGCCUCCCAAAGAGUAACGGAGGCGUGCGAAGGUAGGCUCAGAACGGUCAGAAAUCGUUCGUAGAGUGCAAUGGCAUAAGCCUGCCUGACUGCAAGACUGACAAGUCGAGCAGAGUCGAAAGACGGUCAUAGUGAUCCGGUGGUUCUGAGUGGAAGGGCCAUCGCUCAACGGAUAAAAGGUACGCCGGGGAUAACAGGCUGAUACCCUCCAAGAGUCCAUAUCGACGAG